AGGUCACACCCGUUCCCAUACCGAACACGGAAGUUAAGCUUCUCAGCGCCGAUGGUAGUUGGGGGCUGUCCCCCUGUGAGAGUAGGACGCUGCCGGGCGUA
RNAcentral lists this ribosomal RNA (101 nucleotides) under Bacillus sp. ZZV12-4809. Lineage: Bacteria; Bacillati; Bacillota; Bacilli; Caryophanales; Bacillaceae. The record is from RNAcentral.